AUUUUGUUUGCUUGUGUUUUUGGGCUGCUGGGGACUGAGCGCCUCUGUUAGGUGGAGGUAACAUUGUGUGAUAGAAGUGUGACGUUGCACUAACUAUAAAUGUGAAAUCCAAAACUCGGCGUUGCUGAUUGUUACAGGGGUCUCCCUCCACGAAGCGCCGGGGUCAGAUGUUACAGCCAAUCAUAGAAGGAGAAACGGCACACUUUUUUGAAGAAAUCAAGGAAGAAGAAGAAGACGGUGUCAGCCUCUCCUCUGAGUUAGGUGACAUCUUGAGCACAGCCGUGCACACACAGUCAUCCCUGGAAAACUCAGAAUCUGAUGCUGAAGAAAAACUGGCUCGGGACCUCUGCUUGUCAAGUACUCGUGCGGCCUCUAUG
Molecule: long non-coding RNA, 377 nt
Filed under: Rattus norvegicus (Norway rat)
Lineage: Eukaryota; Metazoa; Chordata; Mammalia; Rodentia; Muridae
Description: long non-coding RNA NONRATT013728
Source: RNAcentral